Molecule: ribosomal RNA, 496 nt
Filed under: uncultured bacterium
Lineage: Bacteria
Description: partial 16S ribosomal RNA
Rfam family: Bacterial small subunit ribosomal RNA
Source: RNAcentral
GAUGAACGCUGGCGGCGUGCCUAAUACAUGCAAGUCGAGCGAACAGAUGAGGAGCUUGCUCCUCUGACGUUAGCGGCGGACGGGUGAGUAACACGUGGAUAACCUACCUAUAAGACUGGGAUAACUUCGGGAAACCGGAGCUAAUACCGGAUAAUAUAUUGAACCGCAUGGUUCAAUAGUGAAAGACGGUUUUGCUGUCACUUAUAGAUGGAUCCGCGCCGCAUUAGCUAGUUGGUAAGGUAACGGCUUACCAAGGCAACGAUGCGUAGCCGACCUGAGAGGGUGAUCGGCCACACUGGAACUGAGACACGGUCCAGACUCCUACGGGAGGCAGCAGUAGGAAAUCUUCCGCAAUGGGCGAAAGCCUGACGGAGCAACGCCGCGUGAGUGAUGAAGGUCUUCGGAUCGUAAAACUCUGUUAUUAGGGAAGAACAAAUGUGUAAGUAACGAUGCACGUCUGGACGGUACCUAAUCAGAAAGCCACGGCAAACUACGU